GCUGAACCGGUUGUGAGGAAGGAACUUCAUAACAUGCCUGAGGAGUCUGUAUUCAUCUACUGCCUUGUAGGAGACAGAGCCUACUGGAAAGAUCCCAACAAUGAAUUCAGGAAGAAUCUGAAACUAACAGGAGUGCCUACACUACUUAAAUAUGGAACACCUCAGAAGCUGGUUGAAGAAGAAUGUUUUAAAGCAGAGCUUGUGCGUAUGUUGUUUACUGAAGACUAAAUCCUCCAGCAGUCAAUCAUUUACAAAGAUGUUAAUCUCAAGUUAUUUGCAAUGUCCUUUCAAGGAAUCUUUAACCUUUUUUUUUAAAACUUUCAGUUAAUUCCUUCAGACUAGUCAAGAUAAAUGUAAUUAAGUUCUAGGUCCAAACCUUCCACUAAAAUCCUG
Molecule: long non-coding RNA, 393 nt
Organism: Pterocles gutturalis (yellow-throated sandgrouse)
Lineage: Eukaryota; Metazoa; Chordata; Aves; Pterocliformes; Pteroclidae
Exons: 3
Source: RefSeq, a predicted model, not a curated record